GAGUUUGAUCAUGGCUCAGGAUGAACGCUAGCGGGAGGCCUAACACAUGCAAGCCGAGCGGUAUUGUUUCUUCGGAAAUGAGAGAGCGGCGUACGGGUGCGGAACACGUGUGCAACCUGCCUUUAUCUGGGGGGAUAGCCUUUCGAAAGGAAGAUUAAUACUCCAUAAUAUAUUGAACGGCAUCGUUUAAUAUUGAAAGCUCCGGCGGAUAGAGAUGGGCACGCGCAAGAUUAGCUAGUUGGUGAGGUAACGGCUCACCAAGGCGAUGAUCUUUAGGGGGCCUGAGAGGGUGAUCCCCCACACUGGUACUGAGACACGGACCAGACUCCUACGGGAGGCAGCAGUGAGGAAUAUUGGUCAAUGGGUGCAAGCCUGAACCAGCCAUCCCGCGUGAAGGACGACUGCCCUAUGGGUUGUAAACUUCUUUUGUAUAGGGAUAAACCUACCCUCGUGAGGGUAGCUGAAGGUACUAUACGAUAAGCACCGGCUAACUCCGUGCCAGCAGCCGCCG
This 511-nucleotide ribosomal RNA is filed under the name uncultured microorganism. RNAcentral's name for it is "bacterial SSU rRNA". It matches the Rfam family "Bacterial small subunit ribosomal RNA", at positions 9 to 520 of the family's 1533-position model. The record is from RNAcentral.